CUAUCUAUUUCUCCUCCAUUUCCAUCUUUUUUUCUGGAAAAAAAAACAAUGGCUGAAGUUUUUCAAGUGGUGCUCCAAAUUCCUGUUCCAAACCAAAAUUCAAAUCAAGGUUAAUUAAUUAAGUCCCAGCAACACCCAAUCAAUUUUGAGAAACGAAUUUCAGAUUUGGAAGUUUUUUCAAGCAAAGCGCCGAAGGGUUCUUUAAUAGUGGACUGUUUUUCUCCCAGUUUUUUCACUCAAGAGCAAUCCCCACUUCCAACCGAGAGGUUGUGAGUUCGAGUCUCCCAAGAGCAAAGUGGUAAGUUAUUGGAAGUUAUUGGAGGGAAGUAUGCCGGAGGUCUAUUUGGAAAUAGCCUCCCUACCCUGACCCCAGGGUAGAGGUAAGGUAUGCGUACACACUACCCUUUACUGGGCUGUUGUUGUUAUAUAUAUAUAUAUAAACUUUCACUUCGACAAACGCCCAUCCAUUAUUCAAAAAAAUCCAAAAAUGAGUACUAAAAUUCAACCUCAAAUUCGUGAUAUAGCUCCUAAGUUCAAUGUUAAACAAUUACCCAAACAAACAAUAUCAAAUGAUUCCAACAAAUAACUCCAAAUCAGCCUUCGAGCAAUCGAAGCUAAGUGACCAAUCAUGUAGAUAUAGAAUCCCAACUUAUCUUUUUAUCAAUAGGAUUUUAGAAUCCAAAAAUUCUCAGCUAAAUCGGUUUGACAACAUGCGAUUGAUGUGUAUUCAAAAGUGGUUUGUCAGCUUGGUUGAGGUUUGAGAUGAGAGAUGAUGAGUUGGUUGGAUCAUCAUCUUUGAUUGUAUUGGAAGAGUUGUUGAAUGUCUAUAAUGUAAAAAUUCUACGGACUAAACUACACUUUAGUAGAGUUGUAACUGGAAUGAGAAAGGUAGUUAUUGACUACCUAGUGUUAGUUACGGGUAUGAAGGAAUUUAUAAAGCAGAUUCAUACUUUCACUUUAUUUCCUCAUUUCUCAUGAUCAGCUCAUCGUAUAGAGUACAAUUUAAUGAAAUGAAUACAAUACACUUUAUUUCCUCAUUUCUCAAGAUAAUCUAUUUCCCUCUUCUUCAUUUCUGCUUCUAUUCUUUCUUCUUCUGUAUUUGUUUCUGAGUUCUUAGCUCGCAUAGUAGAACACAAACCAGUUCAUGGUAUUAGAGCCG
RNAcentral lists this long non-coding RNA (1159 nucleotides) under Nicotiana benthamiana. RNAcentral's name for it is "long non-coding RNA (NBEN_LNC032164)". The record is from RNAcentral. Lineage: Eukaryota; Viridiplantae; Streptophyta; Magnoliopsida; Solanales; Solanaceae.